CUAUGUAUUGCAAAAUACGCCCGAAAUUGUGCCUUAUAUUGAACAACACAUGACCUUUUUGAAAAACCGACAUGGUGGUAAACCACAAGCGUGGCUGGAGAAAGAGCAUAACACAACGUUUGGUCACUGGUUACGUAACAAGGUUGAAAAAGAGUUAGCGGUUUCCAC
Long non-coding RNA from Helianthus annuus (common sunflower), 168 nucleotides. RefSeq lists it as uncharacterized. The transcript is spliced from 3 exons. NCBI's taxonomy places the organism in Eukaryota, Viridiplantae, Streptophyta, Magnoliopsida, Asterales, Asteraceae. The record is from RefSeq and is a predicted model, not a curated record.